This 2465-nucleotide long non-coding RNA is filed under the name Homo sapiens (human). RNAcentral describes it as "HSALNT0279643". The record is from RNAcentral. Lineage: Eukaryota; Metazoa; Chordata; Mammalia; Primates; Hominidae.
AAAGGGUCUUUGCUGUCACAAUUAAGCCUCUCAACAUGAGAUCAUCCUGGAUUGUUUAGAUGGGCCCUAAAUAUCACAACUAGAGUUUUGUUGUUGUUGUUGUUGGUUUGUUUCUUUGUUUUUGUGACGGAGUCUCACUCUAUCACCCGGCUGGAGUGCAGUGGUGUGAUCUUGGCUCACUGCAACCUCCACCUCCCGGGUCCAAGCGACUUUCCUGCCUCACCGUCCUGAGUAGCUGGGAUGACAGGUGCCCCCACCACACCCAGCCUAAUUUUUGUAUUUUUAGUAGAGACGGGGUUUCACCAUGUUGGCCAGGCUGGUCUCGAACUCCUGACCUCAAGCGAACAACUAGCAUUUUUAUAAACUACAGAAGACGGUGGCUAUUCAUCUGCCCCCUCUCUCCUGGGUAUUUGCGUGUCAGGUGCAGAGAUGGAGUCUUCUGAGGGCGCACAUCACAGCGUAGACAGAAAGUUGAGGUUGUACAUGCCGCAGGUUCCAGAUGGAAAUCACUAGUGCCUCCUCUUCUCUCUAAUAGGCACACUAGACACAGCAGGUGCAUUUUGGCGGUGGGAUGAGGUCCGACAGUCACCUUUAUUUUUUAUUUAUGUAUUCAUUAGUAUUAUUAUUUUUUGAGACUGAGUCUUAAACUGUCACCCAGGCUGGAGUGCAGUGGCGGCAUCUCGGCUCACUGCAACCUCCACUUCCCAGGUUCAAGGGAUUCUCCUGCCUCAGCCUCCUGAGUAGCUGGGAUUAUAGGCGCCCAUCACCAUGCCCAGCUAAUUUUUGUAUUUUUAGUAGGGACGGGGUUCGCCAUGUUGGUGAGGCUGGUCUCCAACUCUUUUUUUUUUUUUUUUUUUUUUUUGAGACGGAGUCUCGCUGUCUCCCAGGCUGGAGUUCAGUGCCUCAAUCUCGGCUCACUGCAAGCUCCACCUCCCGUGUUCUCGCCAUUCUCCUGCCUCAGCCUCCCCAGUAGCUGGGACUACAGGCGCCCGCCACCACACCUGGCUAAUUUUUUGUAUUUUUAGCCAUGGGGUUUCACCAUGUUAGCCAGGAUGGUCUCAAUCUCCUGACCUCGUGAUCUGCCUGCCUCGGCCUCCCAAAGUGCUGGGAUUACAGACAUGUGCCACCACGCCUGGCUAAUUUUUUGUAUUUUUAGUAGAGAUGGGGUUUCACCGUGUUGGCCAGGCUGGUCUCGAACUCCUGACCUUGGAUGAUCUGCUCGCCUCGGCCUCCCAAAUUGCUGGGAUGACAGACGUGAACCACCGUGCCUGGCCGACAGUCACCUUUAGAAUGUGAACAGUGGACACUGUGUUGGGGUCUCCUACCUGUGCCUGUGAUGUGGACUGGCCCAUCUCGUCAUGGACAAGUAGAGAUGGGGUUUCACCAUGUUGAGCAGUCUGGUCUUGAACUUCUGACCUCGUGAUCCACCCGCCUCAGCCCCCCAAAGUGCUGGGAUUACAGGCGUGAGCCACCGCGCCCGGCCUGAGACGGCUUUCCAAGGCUGCAGAAAUGAAGUCUGCAAUAGCAGAUCCUCUUUGCCUGGGUUUGCACGUGAUCCAGCAAACCACCCACCGACCCGUUGCCUCAUGUGAGACAUCCUCAGGGAACAGCAAGGUGAGCGUGCCGCAGGGGAUCCGGUACCGAAUGCAGCAUCUACCAACCACAGGCACUGGAUGUAACUAUGCUUUGAAUUUUGAAGGUCCCUGAUAAGACAUCUUUGAGGUCAGGCAUAAAUCAUCACUUCACAUCUUGACGGCAAUGCAACGAAGACAAGUAUCUGUCUCUUUGGGUCUGUCUAACAAGGAGCAAAGCCUGGCCUCCCACCAGCAUCCAGACAAUAGUGGAUUCCCUCUCCAUAGAUGUCAAAAAAGAAACAGAUGCUCCCGCAGGUGAAAUGAGCUCUGGUCCACAAUGCAACGCAGGCUGUGCAGAAAAUCAAAGAGGAACCAACCCAGAAGUAUCCCCCAGGACAAAUCAUUAAGGGGGAAAAGAUAUAAGAAGGGCCCUAAAUGCAAUGACAGCUGUUCUAAGAGACAGAAGAGGAGACGCAGACACAGAGGAGAAGGCCACGUGUAGACAGAGGCAGAGACUGCAGUGAUGUGGCCACAAGCCCAGGGAUGCCUGGAGCCCCCAGGAGCUGGGAGAGGCAGGAAGGAUCCUCCUCUAGAGCCUCCAGAAGGAACUGGAUACAAUUGGAAUGGGUUAUAUGGUGAUCCCCAAAAUAUAUGUUUAUUUCCUUUUCCCCAGAACCUAUAAAUGCAAUCUUACUUGGAAACAGGAUCUCUGCAAAUGUAAUUAGUGAAGGAUCUUGAAAUAAAACCUGUCCUAGAUUAGGGGGUCCUAAAUGCAAGGACAGGUGUCCUUCUAAACACAGAAGGGGAGACCCAGACAGAGGAGAAGGCCACAUGGAGACAGAGACUGGAGUGGUGUAGCCACGAGCCCAGGAAUGCUGGGAGCCCCUGGGA